This 612-nucleotide ribosomal RNA is filed under the name Papiliotrema laurentii. RNAcentral describes it as "eukaryotic LSU rRNA". It matches the Rfam family "Eukaryotic large subunit ribosomal RNA", at positions 52 to 653 of the family's 3401-position model. The record is from RNAcentral. Lineage: Eukaryota; Fungi; Basidiomycota; Tremellomycetes; Tremellales; Rhynchogastremaceae.
GGAGGAAAAGAAACUAACAAGGAUUCCCCUAGUAACGGCGAGUGAACCGGGAAGAGCUCAAAUUUGAAAUCUGGCGUCCUCAGGGCGUCCGAGUUGUAAUCUAUAGAGGCGUUUUCCGUGCCGGACCGUGUCCAAGUUCCUUGGAACAGGAUAUCAAAGAGGGUGACAAUCCCGUACUUGACACGACGACCGGUGCUCUGUGAUACGUCUUCUACGAGUCGAGUUGUUUGGGAAUGCAGCUCAAAAUGGGUGGUGAGUUCCAUCUAAAGCUAAAUAUUGGCGAGAGACCGAUAGCGAACAAGUACCGUGAGGGAAAGAUGAAAAGCACUUUGGAAAGAGAGUUAAACAGUACGUGAAAUUGUUGAAAGGGAAACGAUUGAAGUCAGUCGUGACCGAGAGGCUCAGCCGGUUCUGCCGGUGUAUUCCCCUCGGUCGGGUCAACAUCAGUUUUGUCCGGUGGAUAAGGGCGGUAGGAAGGUGGCACCCUCGGGUGUGUUAUAGCCUGCCGUCGCAUACAUCGGGUGAGACUGAGGAACGCAGCUCGCCUUUAUGGCCGGGGUUCGCCCACGUCCGAGCUUAGGAUGUUGACAUAAUGGCUUUAAACGACCCGUC